UUUUCCUACUGUCUUCUAAAAGGGUUUUGAAUUGUCUGUGUUGAGCUCACUUGUGGUGGCAUCCAGGGUGGAGAUGGGAGAACAGGAGGAACC
Molecule: microRNA precursor, 93 nt
Filed under: Mus caroli (Ryukyu mouse)
Lineage: Eukaryota; Metazoa; Chordata; Mammalia; Rodentia; Muridae
Description: miRNA (MGP_CAROLIEiJ_G0006952.1)
Source: RNAcentral